GCUAGCAUAGCAUAGUGGUUUGUGUGAUGAACUACAACUCUGGAGAUUAGGGUUUGAAUCCCUGCUCAGCC
Molecule: non-coding RNA, 71 nt
Organism: Phrynosoma platyrhinos (Desert horned lizard)
Lineage: Eukaryota; Metazoa; Chordata; Lepidosauria; Squamata; Phrynosomatidae
Source: the annotation of a GenBank genome assembly